This 799-nucleotide ribosomal RNA is filed under the name Streptomyces diastaticus. RNAcentral describes it as "bacterial SSU rRNA". It matches the Rfam family "Bacterial small subunit ribosomal RNA", at positions 56 to 866 of the family's 1533-position model. The record is from RNAcentral. Lineage: Bacteria; Bacillati; Actinomycetota; Actinomycetes; Kitasatosporales; Streptomycetaceae.
UGCAAGUCGACGAUGAGCCAGACUUCUGGGUGGGGAUUAGUGGCGAACGGGUGAGUAACACGUGGGCAAUCUGCCCUGCACUCUGGGACAAGCCCUGGAAACGGGGUCUAAUACCGGAUACUGACCUGCCGAGGCAUCUCGGCGGGUCAAAAGCUCCGGCGGUGCAGGAUGAGCCCGCGGCCUAUCAGCUUGUUGGUGAGGUAAUGGCUCACCAAGGCGACGACGGGUAGCCGGCCUGAGAGGGCGACCGGCCACACUGGGAAUGAGACACGGCCCAGACUCCUACGGGAGGCAGCAGUGGGGAAUAUUGCACAAUGGGCGCAAGCCUGAUGCAGCGACGCCGCGUGAGGGAUGACGGCCUUCGGGUUGUAAACCUCUUUCAGCAGGGAAGAAGCGAGAGUGACGGUACCUGCAGAAGAAGCGCCGGCUAACUACGUGCCAGCAGCCGCGGUAAUACGUAGGGCGCAAGCGUUGUCCGGAAUUAUUGGGCGUAAAGAGCUCGUAGGCGGCUUGUCGCGUCGGUUGUGAAAGCCCGGGGCUUAACCCCGGGUCUGCAGUCGAUACGGGCAGGCUAGAGUUCGGUAGGGGAGAUCGGAAUUCCUGGUGUAGCGGUGAAAUGCGCAGAUAUCAGGAGGAACACCGGUGGCGAAGGCGGAUCUCUGGGCCGAUACUGACGCUGAGGAGCGAAAGCGUGGGGAGCGAACAGGAUUAGAUACCCUGGUAGUCCACGCCGUAAACGGUGGGCACUAGGUGUGGGCAACAUUCCACGUUGUCCGUGCCGCAGCUAACGCAUUAAGUG